UACGUAGGGUGCAAGCGUUAAUCGGAAUUACUGGGCGUAAAGCGUGCGCAGGCGGUGAUGUAAGACAGGUGUGAAAUCCCCGGGCUUAACCUGGGAACUGCAUUUGUGACUGCAUCGCUGGAGUGCGGCAGAGGGGGAUGGAAUUCCGCGUGUAGCAGUGAAAUGCGUAGAUAUGCGGAGGAACACCGAUGGCGAAGGCAAUCACCUGGGCCUGCACUGACGCUCAUGCACGAAAGCGUGGGGAGCAAACAGG
This 253-nucleotide ribosomal RNA is filed under the name uncultured bacterium. RNAcentral's name for it is "partial 16S ribosomal RNA". It matches the Rfam family "Bacterial small subunit ribosomal RNA", at positions 524 to 776 of the family's 1533-position model. The record is from RNAcentral.